ACACAAUGCCUUGCCAUUCGGUCAGUUUUAGGGUACACAACAAAGGGCCUUUCCUUUUUCUCAAACAAAAAGGGCUGUAGACCCAAGGUUUUCCCUCCAGGAGGAAGAAAAAGCUUAGGCUGAGCAGAGAGCAGGCGAGAUGUUUGUCAGAAGGAUCCAUAGUGUCAUAGAAAGGCACUGGGGUUGGCUCGAGGA
Tupaia belangeri chinensis (Chinese tree shrew) is the source of this 195-nucleotide long non-coding RNA. RefSeq lists it as uncharacterized. NCBI's taxonomy places the organism in Eukaryota, Metazoa, Chordata, Mammalia, Scandentia, Tupaiidae. The record is from RefSeq and is a predicted model, not a curated record. The transcript has 2 exons.